This 254-nucleotide ribosomal RNA is filed under the name uncultured bacterium. RNAcentral describes it as "partial 16S ribosomal RNA". It matches the Rfam family "Bacterial small subunit ribosomal RNA", at positions 524 to 776 of the family's 1533-position model. The record is from RNAcentral.
UACGUGGGGAGCAAGCGUUGUGCGGAUUUACUGGGCGGAAAGGGCGCGUAGGCGGUCAGCACAAGUCAGUUGUGAAAUCUCCGGGCUUAACUCGGAAAGGUCAACUGAUACUGUGCGACUAGAGUGCAGAAGGGGCAACUGGAAUUCUCGGUGUAGCGGUGAAAUGCGCAGAUAUCGGGAGGAACACCGGUGGCGAAGGCGGUUCUCUGGGCAUUACCUGACGCUGAGGAGCGAAAGCAUGGGGAGCGAACAGG